GUGGAAUUUGCAAGCGGUGGAGAUGUGGAGAAAGUAUUUGCAAGCUAAAGUUCCUGUACACCAACAAGCAAGGAGAACGGAAGCACUAAAGAAACACCUAAAAGUUCAAAAAAGGUGGAAGAUUGGAUGUAUAGAUUUCAACUUCCAGCACAUAGAACAGCUUCAAUUGAUGAUGAAUUGUUGAAGUCCUUUCAGCCUCAAAUUGUGGCCAUUGGUGAACAAUUUGAUUUUGAUAAACUAAUUAUCAUCUAUGAGGGCAUUAUUCUAUGCAGCAAACCACAACAAAGCAUUGUAAAUAGCAUUGUGGCUUUGCUGUCAUCAUUUUAUAUAUUCAAUAUGUGGUGUAUAAAGACAGCAAAGCCAUAUUGUCUUUCCUAGAGCAGGCCCUAAUGGGUAUUGGCCAAGGUCAUACUUUGCUGAAUGUCAGCACUUUCUUUAACCCUUUAACUCCCAUGAGUGACCAAGAGAAAACUUCUCCUUACAAUCUCAGCACAAUUUCAAGUAGAAAAGUGAUGAGAAUAAAGUAGAAUAUGAUCUAGGGGACUUUAAGUUGAUCCAAUACUAAAUUCUCCCAAAUAAUAUCAAAAGAUUGUAUGACAGACAGUAAGAGGAAUUACUAAUACGAUCUUGGGAGUGAAAGGGUUCUUGAAAUUUCAGAAUUAGAAUCAUUGGUAGAAUUUAUUUGUAAUUUCUGUUUGUAUGAAGAAAUGUACAAUUAACAUUGGAUAUUCUCAAUACUGUGGUUUAUAGCCCUUUCACAGCUGUUUUAUGCACAUGUAUUAUUUUCAGUUUGCCAAUAAAAGGUCACAGCUGGAGAAUGCAAAUCUUUA
Pocillopora verrucosa is the source of this 830-nucleotide non-coding RNA. Lineage: Eukaryota; Metazoa; Cnidaria; Anthozoa; Scleractinia; Pocilloporidae. The record is from RefSeq and is a predicted model, not a curated record.